UUGGCUUCCGGGCUGAUCGCGAUGCUCGGGACCUCGGUCCCGUAACACGCGUUGGCGCGGUAUGUCCUAAUCUGGCCGUCGUGCACUUCUCCCCUAGUAGAACGUCGCGACCCGUUGGGUGUCGGUCAACGGUCCGAAUGGUCGACUGUCGCGUCGGCAUUGACGAACGCGGCAGACCUUUGGUUACCCGACCGGCUGCCCGACGGUAGCAAUAUCAAUAUAUCGGAUAAAGGUUCGUAUAACGGUGCGUAUCGACUCGUCGGCAGGUUCGCCUCGCCCGCGUUUACGGACCCAGUGCCGUUGCCGGGCGCUUGGCGCGACCUCAAGCCGACGAUGUACCACGAAUCUGUUACAAUAAAUUUCGAACGGAUAUAUAUAACGUCGGCGACGCUACUGCUUUGGGUACUUUCAGGACCCGUCUUGAAACACGGACCAAGGAGUCUAACAUGUGCGCGAGUCAUUGGGACUAUUGAGGCCUAAAGGCGAAAUGAAAGUGAAGGUCGGCAUAUAGAAAGUCGGCCGAGGGAGGAUGGUACGCGUUUCGAUGCGUAUCCGCACUCCCGGGGCGUCUCGUGCUCGUUUCGAGCUGAGGCGCACCCAGAGCGUACACGUUGGGACCCGAAAGAUGGUGAACUAUGCCUGGUCAGGACGAAGUCAGGGGAAACCCUGAUGGAGGUCCGUAGCGAUUCUGACGUGCAAAUCGAUCGUCGGAACUGGGUAUAGGGGCGAAA
This 731-nucleotide ribosomal RNA is filed under the name Dirhinus sp. VFC-2016. RNAcentral describes it as "eukaryotic LSU rRNA". It matches the Rfam family "Eukaryotic large subunit ribosomal RNA", at positions 602 to 928 of the family's 3401-position model. Lineage: Eukaryota; Metazoa; Arthropoda; Insecta; Hymenoptera; Chalcididae. The record is from RNAcentral.